UCUAUACUACAAAGUUUUGCCUGCUUAGCUAGCCAUUUAGAGGUGUGACAUGCCUGAGUCAACAUAGCUAUGCUGGGAAAAACCCCAGUGUAGAAACAGCUGUGACAGCAAAAGAGGGCUCCUGCCAGCUAAACUUUUCUUGCUGGGGACAUGGUGCAGUUAGGCAAACAGGGGGGGAAAAAAGCCUUUUUUUGCCAUUUGCCUCCACUAAGAGGGGCUCUGCUACCAAACCUGUCCCACAGCACCUAUGGUGGCACCAGCCAUGAAAUGUAGACAGCUUCUAAGAUGAGAAACCCAGAGUUCCUGGCUCCAGUACCAAGUCAAAUAGAUCCUUGUGGACAUGGUGAUGCAACUGAGACAGGUCAACCCAGACACUGAUGAAUCUACAUUUUUAAAAGGAGAGACCUGUAGCAAGAAAAAACACCUGGCUAUUCAGUGAAGCUCCCUGGCCCUGUGGCUGCUCAAAAGAAAGGAAAAUGGCUCUUGUCACUUUUAAUGCUACUAUCAGCCACAAAUUGGACAAUAAUAUCAGUUACAUUGAGUAGCUAAAGGAAGCUCCCAUGAUCCUCACCUCCAGAACAGACCUCUCAGGGGCUUACUCUGGCCUGGACAACUACAGCUUUUCUAGAUCCACAGCUCUGGAGCAGCCUUGUGCUAUGACGUUCCUUCCCCUUCCUUCCAGGUCAGCCGCUAGCUCCCCUCCGAAGUCCUUCCCUGAGAGAGCCCUGCCUUGGAUUCAAGGAUUCCAAGAAAACUUCUUCAGACCUGAGAUAUUUUACCAGCUCAAGAAACUAGCAUGUUCCAAUUAGUCCCUUUUUUGGCAAAAUACUUUACUAGAUCUGCCUCUAUUCUCAUCAAACUUUGAUCCUUUCCAGAAAGACACCAAGUAUCCUUUUACUUGCUAUGAUGUCUACAGGAAAUCAGUCAGAUAUACAUCUCUCCCUUAAUCUUUCUUGUGGAAGUAAUCAGCUUCCAGACCAGGCUGGAUAUGCUUCAAGAAGAAACUUUUGAUAUUUUUAUUUCAGCUUUUGAUAUUUUUAUUUCUGCAAACUUAAUAUGUAUGAAUAUUUCUGAAAAGAUUCUAGGGGCUGUUAUUCUAUUCAAGCCGGUUUUCUUAUUACGUAGGUGGGUGAGGUUUAAACUUAAUAAUAAACUAAUAAUUAUGUAAAAAUAAUGUUUAAUAAGUAUGUAAUAAUCAUGUUUAAUAAUAAACUAAUAAACUUAAUAAUAAUCUAAUAAAUAUGUGCACAAUAAUGACAAAAUAAAUCCUCUAUAUGCCUCUAUAGAUAUUUGUCCUCUAAACCAACUUUGUUUUUCUCCUAUAAGUUUGGCAACUUUGAGUCAAUUUUGUGACUAGUCUUUCUGACAUUUUCCUUUUUAGACAUCCUAACCUUGGUGCUUUUUUAUUUUACUAGACAACUUAAUGUUUUUUUCAGUUGCAGAAC
Long non-coding RNA from Alligator mississippiensis (American alligator), 1445 nucleotides. RefSeq lists it as uncharacterized. The transcript has 3 exons. NCBI's taxonomy places the organism in Eukaryota, Metazoa, Chordata, Crocodylia, Alligatoridae. The record is from RefSeq and is a predicted model, not a curated record.